GCCGCAAUGGCGCAGUGGUAACGCGUAGCACUUGUAAUGCUAAGACCCCUGGUUCAAUUCCAGGUUGCGGCA
Molecule: non-coding RNA, 72 nt
Organism: Tothia fuscella
Lineage: Eukaryota; Fungi; Ascomycota; Dothideomycetes; Venturiales; Cylindrosympodiaceae
Source: the annotation of a GenBank genome assembly